Molecule: ribosomal RNA, 450 nt
Filed under: uncultured bacterium
Lineage: Bacteria
Description: partial 16S ribosomal RNA
Rfam family: Bacterial small subunit ribosomal RNA
Source: RNAcentral
GUGGGGAAUAUUGGACAAUGGGCGAAAGCCUGAUCCAGCCAUGCCGCGUGUGUGAAGAAGGUCUUCGGAUUGUAAAGCACUUUAAGUUGGGAGGAAGGGCAGUAAGUUAAUACCUUGCUGUUUUGACGUUACCGACAGAAUAAGCACCGGCUAACUUCGUGCCAGCAGCCGCGGUAAUACGAAGGGUGCAAGCGUUAAUCGGAAUUACUGGGCGUAAAGCGCGCGUAGGUGGUUUUGUAAGUUGGAGGUGAAAUCCCCGGGCUCAACCUGGGAACUGCCUCCAAAACUGCAUGACUAGAGUACGGUAGAGGGUAGUGGAAUUUCCUGGGUAGCGGUGAAAUGCGUAGAUAUAGGAAGGAACACCAGUGGCGAAGGCGACUACCUGGACUGAUACUGACACUGAGGUGCGAAAGCGUGGGGAGCAAACAGGAUUAGAUACCCGGGUAGUCC